AGGACGAACGCUGGCGGCGUGCCUAACACAUGCAAGUCGAACGCGCUCCAUUCGGUAGCAAUACUGAUGAAGAGUGAGUGGCGAACGGGUGAGUAACACAUGAGCAACCUGCCCCGAAGACUGGGACAACACCGGGAAACCGGUGCUAAUACCGGAUAUCCCUAUCGGAC
Molecule: ribosomal RNA, 170 nt
Filed under: uncultured bacterium
Lineage: Bacteria
Description: partial small subunit ribosomal RNA
Rfam family: Bacterial small subunit ribosomal RNA
Source: RNAcentral